RNAcentral lists this ribosomal RNA (253 nucleotides) under uncultured bacterium. RNAcentral describes it as "partial 16S ribosomal RNA". It matches the Rfam family "Bacterial small subunit ribosomal RNA", at positions 524 to 776 of the family's 1533-position model. The record is from RNAcentral.
UACGUAGGGUGCGAGCGUUAAUCGGAAUUACUGGGCGUAAAGCGUGCGCAGGCGGUUAUGUAAGACAGUUGUGAAAUCCCCGGGCUCAACCUGGGAAAUGCAUCUGUGACUGCAUAGCUAGAGUACGGUAGAGGGGGAUGGAAUUCCGCGUGUAGCAGUGAAAUGCGUAGAUAUCGGGAGGAACACCAGUGGCGAAGGCGACUACCUGGCCUGUUCUUGACGCUGAGGCGCGAAAGCUAGGGGAGCAAACGGG